Molecule: ribosomal RNA, 492 nt
Filed under: uncultured bacterium
Lineage: Bacteria
Description: partial 16S ribosomal RNA
Rfam family: Bacterial small subunit ribosomal RNA
Source: RNAcentral
AGUGAACGCUGGCGGUAGGCCUAACACAUGCAAGUCGAACGGCAGCACAGUAAGAGCUUGCUCUUACGGGUGGCGAGUGGCGGACGGGUGAGGAAUACAUCGGAAUCUACUUUUUCGUGGGGGAUAACGUAGGGAAACUUACGCUAAUACCGCAUACGACCUACGGGUGAAUGCAGGGGAUCUUCGUACCUUGCGCGAUUGAAUGAGCCGAGCUCGGAUUAGAUAGUUGGGGGGGUAAAGGCCCACCAAGGCGACGGACCGUAGACGGUGGGAGCGGAGGGUAGGCCACAUGAGAACUGGAACAGGGACCAGACGCCUACGGGAGGGAGCAGUGUGGAAUAGUGGGCAGUGGGCGCAAGCAUGAUCCAGCCAUACCGCGUGGGUGAAGAAGGCCUUCGGGUUGUAAAGCCGUUUUGUUGGGAAAGAAAAGCAGCAGGUUAAGACCACGCUGUUCUGACGGUACCCAAAGAAUAAGCACCGGCUAACUUCGUG